This 73-nucleotide transfer RNA is filed under the name Nonomuraea cypriaca. It matches the Rfam family "tRNA". From Rfam's summary of the family: Transfer RNA (tRNA) molecules are approximately 80 nucleotides in length. Their secondary structure includes four short double-helical elements and three loops (D, anti-codon, and T loops). Lineage: Bacteria; Bacillati; Actinomycetota; Actinomycetes; Streptosporangiales; Streptosporangiaceae. The record is from Rfam by way of RNAcentral.
GCGCCCUUAGCUCAGCGGAUAGAGCACCGGACUUCUAAUCCGACGGUCGCAGGUUCGAAUCCUGCAGGGCGCG